CAGGCCCAUUUUGCCAUACAUCUUUGAAUACAAAUUCCUCAUUCCUAUAUCCCUGCCUUCACCCCUUCUUCUCCAUGCCCUCACUUGAAAAGCCAUCACCUGUUCUUCACCUGUCCGGAUCCUUGCUGAUAAAAUUCAAGUCCCAGUUCCUCUGUAAAACUGGUCUCCCACUUCAACUAACAGCAUGUUCUCUCUCUUCCUCUUCUGAACUCCUUUUAUCUGUUCUGUUUGAUACUUAUUAAUAUAUUAUCUUGAACUGUUGCUU
RNAcentral lists this long non-coding RNA (265 nucleotides) under Homo sapiens (human). Its description in RNAcentral is "non-protein coding lnc-KIFAP3-5:1". The record is from RNAcentral. Lineage: Eukaryota; Metazoa; Chordata; Mammalia; Primates; Hominidae.